Long non-coding RNA from Lates calcarifer (barramundi perch), 2927 nucleotides. RefSeq lists it as uncharacterized. The record is from RefSeq and is a predicted model, not a curated record. NCBI's taxonomy places the organism in Eukaryota, Metazoa, Chordata, Actinopteri, Centropomidae. The transcript is spliced from 5 exons.
AAUGUCACAUUAUAUUAAGGUUUCAAAAAUGUCAGCUGUUAUUGUUAAGGAUCAGUCAAAGUGGGAUUGAAAAAUAUCUUAACUUCAGUUUGAUUGUACAUGAUCAGAAAUUCUUAAUUAUGUGUAUGUGCUAGGCACACUAGACUACACUGUACAAAACAAUAUCAAGUCUACAAAUAAAAUAUUGGAGUGAGUUGUUCAUUAGUGUGUUUGUUUUAACUGUUGGUCAGAGGGUGAUUUGAAAAAAUAUCUUUACAGUUUAUAUCAACCAGUUCUACACUGAGUAACUUAAAAGUUUUCACAUAAGCUGCUGUUAAGACCUUUGUAAAUUUGGUUGUUAUUUAUUAAAUGAAAACAACACAAAACAAAGACAUUUUAAAUAUGUGUUCAUAAGAAGAAGGUUGAAAUAAUGAUUCUGUAUGUGAUCGUCUGUGGUGGAAGAAAUACUCAAACUUUUUACUGAAGUAUAAUAAACAACACAAGUUAAAAUCCUGCAUUCUAACAUUGACUUAACUGAUAGUGUUUAUUGUGCAGUUCACAGUAACAUACUACUGCUUCAGUGAUUAGUUGAUAGACACACAAUUAAUAAUCAUUUUACUUUUUCCUAAAUAUUUGUUGUUGUUGGUUCUUCAGGAGGUGAUGACAGUCAACUGUUCAUUUUCUGAAACAGCCUCUAAUGUUUGUUACAUGUUGUGGUUCAGCUGAUGUUUAACAUUUCUCUGUGCUUUCAUGGUGAAACUGUUGAUGAGGAAUAGGUAGUAGUGUAUUGAUCAUUUUCCUUUGAAUGUUUUUCUGUGAUUUCCUCCAGGUGUCACCAGUUCGUCCACAACAUCAUCUACGAUCGCAGAGACAUGGUCCAUGAUCGGAGAGACAUUGUUGAGGAUGAGGGAGACAUCGUCCUCGAUCAGAGACAUUGUCCACGAUCGCAGAGACCUUGUCAAAGACGAGGGAGACGUUGUCCAUGAUCAGAGACAUUGUCCCAUGCUUCGUAGAGACCUUGCGAUAGAAUCGGCGGAGACGGGGGUCACCGAUUUGACGGCAUUGCCCGCGAUCAUGGAGACAUUGUCGAUGAUCAUAGAGACGCCGUCUAUGAUCUCAGAGACAUCGUCCACGAUCACAAAGACAUUGGCCAUGAUCACAGAGACUUUGUCCAUAAUCUCAGAGACAUUGUCCGCGAUCACAGAGACGUAGUCCACGAUCACAGAGAGUCUUCGUACAGUGAUGAAGUUCUUUGAGACCAGGACAGAGGCCUCCAGGUGUCACCAGUUCGUCCACAACAUCAUCUACGAUCGCAGAGACAUGGUCCAUGAUCGGAGAGACAUUGUUGAGGAUGAGGGAGACAUCGUCCUCGAUCAGAGACAUUGUCCACGAUCGCAGAGACCUUGUCAAAGACGAGGGAGACGUUGUCCAUGAUCAGAGACAUUGUCCCAUGCUUCGUAGAGACCUUGCGAUAGAAUCGGCGGAGACGGGGGUCACCGAUUUGACGGCAUUGCCCGCGAUCAUGGAGACAUUGUCGAUGAUCAUAGAGACGCCGUCUAUGAUCUCAGAGACAUCGUCCACGAUCACAAAGACAUUGGCCAUGAUCACAGAGACUUUGUCCAUAAUCUCAGAGACAUUGUCCGCGAUCACAGAGACGUAGUCCACGAUCACAGAGAGUCUUCGUACAGUGAUGAAGUUCUUUGAGACCAGGACAGAGGCCUCCAGGUGUCACCAGUUCGUCCACAACAUCAUCUACGAUCGCAGAGACAUGGUCCAUGAUCGGAGAGACAUUGUUGAGGAAGAGGGAGACAUCGUCCUCGAUCAGAGACAUUGUCCACGAUCGCAGAGACCUUGUCAAAGACGAGGGAGACGUUGUCCAUGAUCAGAGACAUUGUCCCAUGCUUCGUAGAGACCUUGCGAUAGAAUCGGCGGAGACGGGGGUCACCGAUUUGACGGCAUUGCCCGCGAUCAUGGAGACAUUGUCGAUGAUCAUAGAGACGCCGUCUAUGAUCUCAGAGACAUCGUCCACGAUCACAAAGACAUUGGCCAUGAUCACAGAGACUUUGUCCAUAAUCUCAGAGACAUUGUCCGCGAUCACAGAGACGUAGUCCACGAUCACAGAGAGUCUUCGUACAGUGAUGAAGUUCUUUGAGACCAGGACAGAGGCCUCCAGGUGUCACCAGUUCGUCCACAUCUACGAUCGCAGAGACAUGGUCCAUGAUCGGAGAGACAUUGUUGAGGAUGAGGGAGACAUCGUCCUCGAUCAGGGACAUUGUCCACGAUCGCAGCGACUUUGUCAAAGAUGAGGGAGACGUUGUCCAUGAUCAGAGACAUUGUCCCAUGCUUCGUAGAGACCUUGCGAUAGAAUCGGCGGAGACGGGGGUCACCGAUUUGACGGCAUUGCCCGCGAUCAUGGAGACAUUGUCGAUGAUCAUAGAGACGCCGUCUAUGAUCUCAGAGACAUCGUCCACGAUCACAAAGACAUUGGCCAUGAUCACAGAGACUUUGUCCAUAAUCUCAGAGACAUUGUCCGCGAUCACAGAGACGUAGUCCACGAUCACAGAGAGUCUUCGUAUGGUGAAGUUCUUUGAGACCAGGACAGAGGCCUCCAGAAGGAGAAGACGACAGCAGUUGAAGACCUGAAGUGGAUGAAAGAAAACAAAAACGUUAUGAAGCUGUUAAUUAGAUAAAAGAUCUCUACCAUCUAUAAUUUAGACAUGGGCACAUUUUCCAAAGACUAAUGUGUCUUUAAACACCUGUAAGAACUUUCAACUGCUUAUGAUAAAAUUAUUUAAUUAAUAAUUGUACCACAGGCAGUGAUGAUCACAAAGAUGCUUAGUAGACAUGUUCAUCUUUGUAAAAUGUGCUCAUAACUACAUUAACCCUAACCAGUGUUUCCUUGUGGUCAAAUGCUGUGAUUUGUUAAAUGUUGUCUGGAAUAAAGUCAU